Long non-coding RNA from Telopea speciosissima, 224 nucleotides. RefSeq lists it as uncharacterized. The record is from RefSeq and is a predicted model, not a curated record. The transcript has 3 exons. NCBI's taxonomy places the organism in Eukaryota, Viridiplantae, Streptophyta, Magnoliopsida, Proteales, Proteaceae.
AGGGAUUUGGUUGACAACAAACAAAAAAUUUAAAAAAAAAAAAACAUAUACAGUUUCCAGACCUUUUCAUUUCUAAUGUCCUCUGCAUCUAAGCUGACAGGUGUCUCCAUUGCAAAAAGUGCCAAUAUUUGAAGGAGGUGAUUCUGCAUUAUAUCCCGUAUGAUCCCAUAAUUAUCAAAGUAUCUGUAAACAAGAAGACACAAUAAGGUACUAGUUGCCUCAAA